CAGUAGCCACGGUAAUACGGAGGGUGCAAGCGUUAUCCGGAUUCACUGGGUUUAAAGGGUGCGUAGGCGGAUCUGUAAGUCAGUGGUGAAAUCCCCAGGCUUAACCUGGAAACUGCCGUUGAUACUAUAGGUCUUGAAUUUUGUGGAGGUUAGCGGAAUAUGUCAUGUAGCGGUGAAAUGCAUAGAUAUGUCAUAGAACACCAAUUGCGAAGGCAGCUGGCUACACAACUAUUGACGCUGAGGCACGAAAGCGUGGGGAUCAAACAGGAUUAGAGACCCCAGUAGUCCCUGUCUCUUAUAC
RNAcentral lists this ribosomal RNA (301 nucleotides) under uncultured bacterium. RNAcentral's name for it is "partial 16S ribosomal RNA". It matches the Rfam family "Bacterial small subunit ribosomal RNA", at positions 509 to 807 of the family's 1533-position model. The record is from RNAcentral.